This 687-nucleotide ribosomal RNA is filed under the name Triticum aestivum (bread wheat). RNAcentral's name for it is "partial small subunit ribosomal RNA". The record is from RNAcentral. Lineage: Eukaryota; Viridiplantae; Streptophyta; Magnoliopsida; Poales; Poaceae.
AAAAUCAGGAGAUUUGGAAGAACUACCAAACGGUGGAACUCCAAUGAGGAAGCUAAUCUUAGAAGAUACAAAAGGCUUCUCCUCCUUGAGUUUGAUUCUCUAGAUAUUACGGCAGAAACCAGUGACCUCUCUGAGGCUGAGACUAAUAGAUUGAACUUUGUGCAUGGAGAGCUCAAGAAAAUUUGGCUUCUAGAAGAAAUCAAAGCCAAACAAAGGUCUAGAGAUAGGAACAUUAAGGAGGGUGAUAGAAAUACUGCUUACUUCCAUGCAGUAGCUAACCAGAGGAGGAGGAAAAUCGUCAUUCACUCCCUUGAUGGCCCUAAUGGCCCUGUUACUGAGGUAGAUGAGAUGCUGAAAGUGGCUAGUAACUUCUACAAAGACCUGUUUAAGAAAGAAAACCCUUCUGGGUUCUCUCUACAAAACAUUUUUUUCUCUGCUUCUGAAAAAGUCUCUCCUGCUAAAAAUGAGCUCCUAGAAGCCCCCUUUUCAGAGACAGAGGUGAAGGAAGCCAUUUUUAGCUCUUAUCCUGAUGGGGCUCCUGGUCCUGAUGGGAUUCCCUUCUUGUUUUACCAGCAUUUUUGGGACUUGGUGAAAGAUGAUCUCUUAGAUCUUUUCCAAGCCUUUCAUAGAGGAGAGUUGGAUCCAGCAACUUACUCAUGGGGGGUCUAUUGGGGUCAAGUUAAAUAA